This 274-nucleotide ribosomal RNA is filed under the name uncultured bacterium. RNAcentral describes it as "partial 16S ribosomal RNA". It matches the Rfam family "Bacterial small subunit ribosomal RNA", at positions 523 to 796 of the family's 1533-position model. The record is from RNAcentral.
AUACGGGGGGAGCAAGCGUUGUCCGGAAUCAUUGGGCGUAAAGGGCACGUAGGCGGUUUCUUAAGUCGAAUGUGAAAUCUCACGGCUCAACCGUGAAACUGCGUUCGAAACUAAGUGACUUGAGUUUGGGAGAGGUGUACGGAAUUCCUGGUGUAGCGGUGGAAUGCGUAGAUAUCAGGAAGAACACCAAUGGCGAAGGCAGUACACUGGCCUGAAACUGACGCUGAGGUGCGAAAGCGUGGGGAGCAAACAGGAUUAGAUACCCUAGUAGUCC